This 465-nucleotide ribosomal RNA is filed under the name uncultured bacterium. RNAcentral describes it as "bacterial SSU rRNA". It matches the Rfam family "Bacterial small subunit ribosomal RNA", at positions 198 to 644 of the family's 1533-position model. The record is from RNAcentral.
GGAGGAAAGUAGGGGAUCGCAAGACCUUGCGUUAUUGGAGCGGCCUAUGUCUGAUUAGCUAGUUGGCGGGGUAAAGGCCUACCAAGGCGACGAUCAGUAGCUGAUCUGAGAGGAUGAUCAGCCACACUGGGACUGAGACACGGCCCAGACUCCUACGGGAGGCAGCAGUGGGGAAUUUUGGACAAUGGGGGCAACCCUGAUCCAGCCAUGCCGCGUGAGUGAAGAAGGCCUUCGGGUUGUAAAGCUCUUUCGCGAGGGAAGAAAUCGGCGGGGAUAAUACCUCCGCCGGAUGACGGUACCUUGAGAAGAAGCACCGGCUAACUACGUGCCAGCAGCCGCGGUAAUACGUAGGGUGCGAGCGUUAAUCGGAAUUACUGGGCGUAAAGCGUGCGCAGGCGGCUUGCCAAGUCAGAUGUGAAAGCCCCGGGCUCAACCCGGGAACUGCGUUUGAAACUACAAAGCUAG